RNAcentral lists this long non-coding RNA (1073 nucleotides) under Papio anubis (olive baboon). Its description in RNAcentral is "lncRNA (ENSPANG00000041660.1)". The record is from RNAcentral. Lineage: Eukaryota; Metazoa; Chordata; Mammalia; Primates; Cercopithecidae.
AUGAAGAUGAGGGCAAGAAUAGUCCAGAUCCUAAGAAGAAUCAUAUGGCCUUCUUUCUGUUCCUUCAAUGACAGGUUCCUUGUUGCUUCAAGACUUACUCAAAGAGGGCUGCCACCAAUUUGGUCACUGGAAGAAAAGGCGGGUCUCAGGGAAUAUGGAUGGCUGUCCUCCCUUUCCCCUUCAGAUGUCAGCCGCAUCUACUCCUGCUUUCGGAAAACCCCAGGGCAAACGGACCUGCCAGGCAGCCAACCAACCACCAGCCCCCGUGAAAGGCUGGAACCCAGCUGCCCAAUUCGGUUGCUCCUGUCCAAAGCCAGACAGGUGGCAACCCAGAUUGAAUCUGUUGUUGUGGGAAUGAUUUGAUUCACAAACAAGGUUAUUAAAUUUUAUAUGGAGACACAGGCGAAAGUCACAAGAUCCUGGAGAGAAAGACCUGAUUCACAUAAAUUUAUCUUAAUAGCUGUGAAUUCGGGCGCAUAAAGCAGAAAAAAAAUUAAUGGAAAGGCAUUUCACCUCCUCCGUCUGCCUGCUCUCCUCCACUCCCCAGCACAUAAUAUGCCCACACACACACAUAGAUCAACAACUGCCACGACUCCAUCCAGCCCUUUGCAGGAGGAGCCCAACACAUUGAUCUGAGCCUGUUUUGACAUAUAAACUCCAAUUUGGCCCCAAGUCACUGCGAGUGGACACUGCCACCAACGGCUCUGACACUAGGUUAUUUGUUGUUGCUGUUCGCUGUCCCUGUUUGCACAUUAAUCCAGUGACAAUUAGGUGUCAGCGAGCGUUGUUUCUGCUUAGCUGAUAGCCUUGGGCUCUGCGCUUGAAGCCCUAAUCAGGAGUGUAAACUCUGCUAUAUUUCAAUUUGGAGAAGCGCUCUUCCGCUAAGAGGCCCCUGGCACUGCGAUAAAUAAAACGCCUAUUUACUCUAUUGCCACACUUAGACAUCUAAUGCACUUACUACCAGCCCCCUAAUCAUAGCCUACAGUUAAAACCGCCUAUAAAUCACUCCGUUCUCAUCCUGCACAUUAGUGAAGCCAUUUUCCCCAAACCCCACAAUGAGCACUGUUUCCUUU